AUGUAUUGGAUUGUAUAUCCAGUGGGGGAUGUCAGGAAAACGCCUGCCCCCAGACCAGCCCGCAUCUUAGAGCCGUCAAAGUGCAUGAUACAAUUGGAGUACGCGCCGUACUCUUUAGGGAGUUCAGCUUCUGUCCAUUCAGCGACGAAGUCAGACAGUACUUGUGACUUAAUGGCUUGCCGUGGUUUAUAUGUUAUGUCGAAUGGGAGGAGCACGAUAGCCCAUUUAGCAAUCCGGCCCUCGCGGUUAUUUAUUAUAUCGUUAAGGGAUACUUCAGAGGCCACCGUGAUUGAACACUCUUGA
Molecule: ribosomal RNA, 303 nt
Filed under: Triticum aestivum (bread wheat)
Lineage: Eukaryota; Viridiplantae; Streptophyta; Magnoliopsida; Poales; Poaceae
Description: partial small subunit ribosomal RNA
Source: RNAcentral